This 491-nucleotide long non-coding RNA is filed under the name Solanum tuberosum (potato). Its description in RNAcentral is "long non-coding RNA (STUB_LNC000032)". Lineage: Eukaryota; Viridiplantae; Streptophyta; Magnoliopsida; Solanales; Solanaceae. The record is from RNAcentral.
UUUAUAAUUCUCUAUUUUAUACACACCUAAGUGCUGACCUGUCAUGGGAGGUGUUCUCACCUUCUCUAGGCGCGUUAGAAGGUGAAUUUUGACGAAAAUUUCCGAGAAAAUAGUCAUCUUCCCCAAUUAAUCAAUGAAAGGAUUCAAUCUCAAUUGACCUCCAUUAAUGGCAUUGCUAGUGCUUUCGUUUGUUCUCCCUCUUUUGCUGCUCGACCAUCAGCCACCACUGUCGCCGCCUCCGGCGAAAUCCAAACCACCAACAAAGCCUUGUUCUCCUCUUCCCCUCUCCUCUUAUCUCUCUCCCAUUCCGAGACAACCACCAUAAAUACCUACCUCUGUUCUCACAACAAGAUCGACAACAACAACAACAACAAAACCUUGCGGCUGCACUACUCCAACCAGCGAGCUCCGGUGAAGCAAGCAAAAUAGAUCCUUUUAGAUUAUUUUUCAAUGUUCUCCGACAAGCAAAACUCGAAUAUUGCUUGACAAGC